UACGGGGGGGGCAAGCGUUGUUCGGAAUUACUGGGCGUAAAGGGCUCGUAGGCGGCCAACUAAGUCAGACGUGAAAUCCCUCGGCUUAACCGGGGAACUGCGUCUGAUACUGGAUGGCUUGAGUUUGGGAGAGGGAUGCGGAAUUCCAGGUGUAGCGGUGAAAUGCGUAGAUACCUGGAGGAACACCGGUGGCGAAGGCGGCAUCCUGGACCAACACUGACGCUGAGUGAGCGAAAGCCAGGGGAGCAAACGGG
Molecule: ribosomal RNA, 254 nt
Filed under: uncultured bacterium
Lineage: Bacteria
Description: partial 16S ribosomal RNA
Rfam family: Bacterial small subunit ribosomal RNA
Source: RNAcentral